RNAcentral lists this ribosomal RNA (109 nucleotides) under Amphilophus citrinellus (Midas cichlid). Lineage: Eukaryota; Metazoa; Chordata; Actinopteri; Cichliformes; Cichlidae. The record is from RNAcentral.
GCUUACGGCCACACCACCCUGAACACGUCUGAUCUCGGAAACUAAGCAGGGUCGGGCCUGGUCAGUACUUGGAUGGGAGACCGCCUGGGAAUACCAGGUGCAGUAAGCU